This 552-nucleotide ribosomal RNA is filed under the name uncultured bacterium. RNAcentral describes it as "bacterial SSU rRNA". It matches the Rfam family "Bacterial small subunit ribosomal RNA", at positions 772 to 1321 of the family's 1533-position model. The record is from RNAcentral.
ACUCAAUAGAUACCCGGGUAGUCCACGCCCUAAACGAUGUCGACUGGUUGUUGGUGGGGUUAAACCCAUUAGUAAACGAAAGCUAAACGCGUGAAAGUCGACCGCCUGGGGAGUACGGCCGCAAGGUUAAAACUCAAAGGAAUUGACGGGGACCCGCACAAGCGGUGGAUGAUGUGGGUUAACUCGAUGCAAACGCGAGGAACCUUACCUACCCUUGACAUGCCAGGAACCCUGCUGAGAGGUGGGGUGCCGAAACGGGAACCUGGACACAGGUGCUGCAUGGCUGUCGUCAGCUCGUGUCGUGAGAUGUUGGGUUAAGUCCCGCAACGAGCGCAACCCUUGUCACUAGUUGCUACGGUAACGGGCACUCUAGUGAGACUGCCGGUGACAAACCGGAGGAAGGUGGGGAUGACGUCAAGUCCUCAUGGCCCUUAUGGGUAGGGCUUCACACGUCAUACAAUGGCGCAUACAGAGGGCUGCCAACCCGCGAGGGGGUAGCCAAUCCCAGAAAGUGCGUCGUAGUCCGGAUUGCAGUCUGCAACUCGACUGCAU